GGCUCAGACAAAACGCUGGCGGCGUGCCUAACACAUGCAAGUCGUACGAGAAAGUCCGGGCAACUGGGCGAGUAAAGUGGCGCACGGGUGAGUAACGCGUGGGUAACCUGCCCUUGAAUUGGGGAUAACUCCGCGAAAGCGGGGUUAAUACCGAAUAACAUUCCGAUGUCCCUGGAUGUUGGAAUCAAAGGUGGCCUCUGCAUGCAAGCUACCGUUUAAGGAUGGGCCCGCGUACCAUUAGCUAGUUGGUGAGGUAACGGCUCACCAAGGCAGCGAUGGUUAGCUGGUCUGAGAGGAUGACCAGCCACACUGGAACUGAGACACGGUCCAGACUCCUACGGGAGGCAGCAGUGGGGAAUCUUGCGCAAUGGGGGAAACCCUGACGCAGCAACGCCGCGUGGGUGAUGAAGGCCUUCGGGUCGUAAAGCCCUGUCAGGUGGGAAGAACCGUACCGAUGCGAACAGCAUCGGUACCUGACGGUACCACCGGAGGAAGCACCGGCUAACUCCGUGCCAGCAGCCGCGGUAAUACGGAGGGUGCUAGCGUUGUUCGGAAUUACUGGGCGUAAAGCGCGUGCAGGCGGUCGAGCAAGUCAGAUGUGAAAGCCUUCCGCUUAACGGAAGAAGUGCAUUUGAUACUACUCGGCUGGAGUUCGGGAGAGGAGAGUGGAAUUCCUGGUGUAGAGGUGAAAUUCGUAGAUAUCAGGAGGAACACCGGUGGCGAAGGCGGCUCUCUGGCCCGAUACUGACGCUGAGACGCGAAAGCGUGGGGAGCAAACAGGAUUAGAUACCCUGGUAGUCCACGCCGUAAACGAUGGGCACUAGGUGUAGGAGGUAUUGACCCCUUCUGUGCCGAAGCUAACGCAUUAAGUGCCCCGCCUGGGGAGUACGGCCGCAAGGCUUAAACUC
RNAcentral lists this ribosomal RNA (908 nucleotides) under uncultured bacterium. RNAcentral describes it as "bacterial SSU rRNA". It matches the Rfam family "Bacterial small subunit ribosomal RNA", at positions 21 to 902 of the family's 1533-position model. The record is from RNAcentral.